This is a small nucleolar RNA of Zingiber officinale, 73 nucleotides long. RefSeq annotates it as small nucleolar RNA R66. The record is from RefSeq and is a predicted model, not a curated record. Lineage: Eukaryota; Viridiplantae; Streptophyta; Magnoliopsida; Zingiberales; Zingiberaceae. The transcript has a single exon.
UCCUAUGAUGGCAUGAAAUCUUUGAGACCUGAUAUCUUUUCUCCUGGUGAAACUAUAGCAUGAUUCUGAGGAC